GAGACCUCAGGUCAGGCGGGGCUACCCGCUGAAUUUAAGCAUAUUCAAU
This 49-nucleotide ribosomal RNA is filed under the name Bossiaea sp. Crisp 9033. RNAcentral describes it as "partial 26S ribosomal RNA". Lineage: Eukaryota; Viridiplantae; Streptophyta; Magnoliopsida; Fabales; Fabaceae. The record is from RNAcentral.